CAGUGUGGAGGAAUAACCUCAUGUGAAAACUGGUGCUUAAUUACCGCAUAACAUGACUGAUGCGCACGAUGCUGUUCGUCUUCAAAGGCGCAAGUCGUCAGCAAUGAUGGGAUCCGCGGUCCGGAUUAGCCUUGUUGGCCGCAGGUUAAUGGCUCACCAAGGCAUUGCAUCUGCGUAGCCGGAUCUUGAUGAGGUUGGCCGGCCACACUGGAACUUGAGACACGGUCCAGACUCAAACGGGAGGCACGCAGUGGGGAACUCUUGCACAAUGGACGAAAGUCUGAUGCAUCUAACGCCGCGUGGGGGAUGAAGCUUCUCGGAGUGUAAACCCCUUUCGACCCGGAAGAAUGCCCGCAAGGGUUUGACGGUACGGGUAUAAGAAGCCCCUGGCUAACUACGUGCCAGCAAUGCCGCGGUAAUACGUAUGGGGGCCAGCGUUAGCUCGGAAUUACUGGGCGUAACAGGGUCUGUAGGCGGUGCGGCCAAGUCGAUAGUGAAAUCCCUAGGCUUAACCUAGGGGCUGCUAGCGAAACUGCCGUGCUAGAGUGUGAGAG
Molecule: ribosomal RNA, 554 nt
Filed under: uncultured bacterium
Lineage: Bacteria
Description: bacterial SSU rRNA
Rfam family: Bacterial small subunit ribosomal RNA
Source: RNAcentral